AUUGAACGCUGGCGGCAGGCCUAACACAUGCAAGUCGAGCGGUAGAGAGGUGCUUGCAUCUCUUGAGAGCGGCGGACGGGUGAGUAAUGCCUAGGAAUCUGCCUAGUGGUGGGGGAUAACGUUCGGAAACGGACGCUAAUACCGCAUACGUCCUACGGGAGAAAGCGGGGGAUCUUCGGACCUCGCGCCAUUAGAUGAGCCUAGGUCGGAUUAGCUAGUUGGUGAGGUAAUGGCUCACCAAGGCGACGAUCCGGUAACUGGUCUGAGAGGAUGAUCAGUCACACUGGAACUGAGACACGGUCCAGACUCCUACGGGAGGCAGCAGUGGGGAAUAUUGGACAAUGGGCGAAAGCCUGAUCCAGCCAUGCCGCGUGUGUGAAGAAGGUCUUCGGAUUGUAAAGCACUUAAGUUGGGAGGAAGGGUAGUAACCUAAUACGUUGCUACUUUGACGUUACCGACAGAAUAAG
Molecule: ribosomal RNA, 467 nt
Filed under: uncultured bacterium
Lineage: Bacteria
Description: bacterial SSU rRNA
Rfam family: Bacterial small subunit ribosomal RNA
Source: RNAcentral